Molecule: long non-coding RNA, 2107 nt
Filed under: Homo sapiens (human)
Lineage: Eukaryota; Metazoa; Chordata; Mammalia; Primates; Hominidae
Description: long non-coding RNA NONHSAT086659.2
Source: RNAcentral
GAAACCGAGGACAGAUCUUGCAGCAAGAACCCCCGACCCCCAACCCAGCGGAGAGGAGACCAGGGGGCCCUCACCUGUGAGCACCCCAGCGGUCAGGUAGAGCUCCAGGAGGCGCGUGGCAAAGGAAGCUAGGAUCAUGCCCGCGGAAGCCAGCAGCCCACCCGCCAGCAUCACCGGGCGACAGCCAAAGCGGGUCACGAGGAUGCUGGACACGGGGCCUGUGGGCAGGGCAGGGUCACCACCCGGGUCCCGGGAUGGCUUGAGUCCUCUAAGGAAUAAGGUCACCUCCGGCUCAGGGACACAGAGAGGAGGGCAGUGUCUGGCCAAGGUCACACAGCUUGGAGGGGACAGGCCAAAGAGACAGCAUCCUGCGAGGGCAAGGCCCAGAGCACCCCAUCCUGCGAACCCAAACCCCAAGCGGAGCGGGGGCUUCCGCACCCCUUUAACCUUCACAGCCUCCAAGUCCCGCCCUGGCACAGACUGGGAUUCCUCCGCAGCCCCGCCUCCCAGGAUGGGAACUCCAGCAAGCCCCCACCUACAGGGCGCUGAAGGACGAGGGGAGGACGACGGGUCCCACCUGACUCUGCACCUCUGCAGGCUCCCUCUGAAGGACAACUGCUGGCCCCUCAGGGCCUCAGGUGGAAGGCGUCGGGAAGUGGAGCAGGCUAUGUGAGUCAAGGAUGGAACGAUGGUCCCAGAACAUCCCAGGAGGGUGUGACAGCCUCCAUCUAGAAGGUUCUAUCCUCAGGUCCCCAAGGCAUCUGCAGCACACCGUCCUCUGCUGUGGGUCUGUGAAGCAGCCACUCCAGCAGCAGGUGUCCCUAUCGUUGGCGUUCUCAGUCAUCUCUCUCCCCACUGACCCCCUUCCGUUCCUGUCCCUGUGGUCACCCGCCCAGCUAUGGACCUUCGCGCCUAACUAUGAGUCCCUCCAUACAUCACCUAUCCCCCACUCACCUGUCUAUACUCCAUCCCCCGUGUAGCCACGAAUCCAUCCAGCACCCCCUCACCACUCACACCUCUCCAAUCACCCAUCAGUGUCUGUCCACCACAUCUGCGCAUCCUCCCAUGUCCCUAACCACCCAGUCAGUGACCCCCCCCCCGCCAUUUAAGGCCAUCCACUUGCACACACAGACCUCCACCUACCCAGACGCACAUCCCCUGGUCCACCCAUUCGCCUGUCCACCAUCCAUUAAGCACAGGACCACUCAUCCAUCCGUGGGCUGGUGUGGGCAGCCACCACCCGCUCUGCCCAUGCACGCAUUCAUCCUGCGCUGCUUCUCUCCUGCAGCAGGAGUGGGCACCGUACACUACCCUGCCCAUGAAGCCCCGAGGGGGCACUGCCUGGCUCCAGCCAGCCCCAUCUGCCCCGUUUUCCCCUGCAGGACAGUGGUGCCUGUCCAUUCCCUCUGCUAGCUGCCAGCCCUGCUGUCCUCCGCACUUUCUGGCAACCUCACUGUAUGAAACUCCCCAAAUCCUCCUCCACGUCAAGUGUCAAAACAGCCCAGUUUAAGUGCUUUCAGGAUUUCCACGGAGCCUGACCGCAAAGAGGUGAGCACAUUUAAGCCCCUACUCCCAGCCCAGCCCCCUGCAUCAGAGUUCCAGGGCUGACUCUGCAGAGGGGAAGCAGCCUCCUCCCAGAGGCAGGCACACAGUAGGUGCUCAAGCAAUAGGAUUUCUGCCAUUUCCACACUUUUGGAAGAACCUGCCCAUCCCCCAUCCUCUGCCCGCUCUCAAGGACCGUCAUCCUGAACUUGGUAAGGCGGCUCUUCCUACUCCCACUGAAUGAAUGAGGAAACUGAGGCAGGGUGCGGGGGUCGGGAGGAGAGGAGCAUUGUCCGAGGCCCCCGGGGGAGGCCAGGGAAACCUCAGUCCGGCAGGUCCCCGGGUUCCCGGCCCCCAGGGCCUUCUUCUCAACCCACCCCCGGCCCCUCCAAGGCUCCCACUCACGCGGACGAGCCCUCCAGCUUGCCGUAGAGCCAGCCGUUCUGGGCCUCGGGCACCAACACCUCCACCACGUCCCCAGCGGAGAAGCGCAGCAGCGUGUGGUUGGCGCCCUCCGAGUGGGAGACCAGGGCGCGGACUCUCCUGGCGCCCCCGCCGCCGCCCG